UACGGGGGGAGCAAGCGUUUGUUCGGAUUUACUGGGCGUAAAGGGCGCGUAGGCGGUCGUGACAAGUCACUUGUGAAAUCUCCCGGGCUUAACUCGGAACGGUCAAGUGAUACUGUCGGACUAGAGUACAGAAGGGGGCAACUGGAAUUCUCGGUGUAGCGGUGAAAUGCGUAGAUAUCGAAGAGGAACACCUGCGGCGAAGGCGGGUUGCUGGGCUGAUACUGACGCUGAGGCGCGAAAGCCAGGGGAGCGAACGG
RNAcentral lists this ribosomal RNA (257 nucleotides) under uncultured bacterium. Its description in RNAcentral is "partial 16S ribosomal RNA". It matches the Rfam family "Bacterial small subunit ribosomal RNA", at positions 524 to 775 of the family's 1533-position model. The record is from RNAcentral.